This 492-nucleotide ribosomal RNA is filed under the name uncultured bacterium. Its description in RNAcentral is "partial 16S ribosomal RNA". It matches the Rfam family "Bacterial small subunit ribosomal RNA", at positions 30 to 507 of the family's 1533-position model. The record is from RNAcentral.
AUUGAACGCUGGCGGCAUGCUUUACACAUGCAAGUCGAACGGUAACAGGCCUUCGGGUGCUGACGAGUGGCGAACGGGUGAGUAAUGCAUCGGAACGUACCCAGAGUUGGGGGAUAACGCAGCGAAAGCUGUGCUAAUACCGCAUGUGAUCUGAGGAUGAAAGCGGGGGACCGAGCAGCAAUGUUUGGCCUCGCGCCUUUGGAGCGGCCGAUGUCGGAUUAGCUAGUUGGUGGGGUAAAGGCCUACCAAGGCGACGAUCCGUAGCUGGUCUGAGAGGACGACCAGCCACACUGGGACUGAGACACGGCCCAGACUCCUACGGGAGGCAGCAGUGGGGAAUGUUGGACAAUGGGCGCAAGCCUGAUCCAGCAAUGCCGUGUGCGGGAAGAAGGCCUUCGGGUUGUAAACCGCUUUUGGCAGGAACGAAACGGUGUCCGCUAAUACCGGGCGCUAAUGACGGUACCUGCAGAAUAAGCACCGGCUAACUACGUG